RNAcentral lists this ribosomal RNA (213 nucleotides) under uncultured bacterium. RNAcentral's name for it is "partial 16S ribosomal RNA". It matches the Rfam family "Bacterial small subunit ribosomal RNA", at positions 137 to 334 of the family's 1533-position model. The record is from RNAcentral.
ACGGGGAUAACAUUCCGAAAGGGGUGCUAAUACCGGAUACGAUGAGAGAGUCAUAAGGCUUUCUCAUGAAAGGCGACCUCUUCUUGAAAGUUGCCGCUCAUUGAUGAGCCCGCGUCCCAUUAGCUUGUUGGUAGGGUAACGGCUUACCAAGGCUGAGAUGGGUAGCUGGUCUGAGAGGAUGAUCAGCCACACUGGAACUGAGAUAUGGUCCAG